GCUUGUCUAGCUCAGUCGGUAGAGCGCAAGGCUCUUAACCUUGUGGUCGUGGGUUCGAGCCCCACAGUGGGCG
This 73-nucleotide transfer RNA is filed under the name Nelumbo nucifera (sacred lotus). It matches the Rfam family "tRNA". Rfam says of the family: Transfer RNA (tRNA) molecules are approximately 80 nucleotides in length. Their secondary structure includes four short double-helical elements and three loops (D, anti-codon, and T loops). Lineage: Eukaryota; Viridiplantae; Streptophyta; Magnoliopsida; Proteales; Nelumbonaceae. The record is from Rfam by way of RNAcentral.